Molecule: non-coding RNA, 1423 nt
Organism: Rattus norvegicus (Norway rat)
Lineage: Eukaryota; Metazoa; Chordata; Mammalia; Rodentia; Muridae
Source: RefSeq, a predicted model, not a curated record
AUUUUCUCUCUGGUUGAAAUAGGAUAAAGGCAAAACAUGGAUGAGUCUAUCAGUAUGGACCUAUUUAUGCUUAUAAAUGCUGACUUUUAGUAUCUGUUGAGUCCUGUUAGGAUUGUCCGUGAAAUUGUUCCUAGGCCCUUCCGCUCCUAGUGCUGUCUCUGUGAUGCGGGACCUGCCGGCUGCAUCUAGGUAGUUAAAGGUGGUCCUUCCGGUUCCCAGCUCUGUCUUCCGCUUCCUGGUCCUGGCCCAAUGAGGGGCUCUUUACUCCGUGUUCUCACCUCCUUGCCCUCUGCACUGUGAUGAACCGAAAUCCUGCUGGAACCAUGAGUCAGUGUGUCUUUCCUUCUAAAUAAGACAUUGCAUUGGAGAUGUGAUUGGGGCAUGAAAGGAAGUAUAUCAGUAGACUCCUGGUGGAGGAGACAGCCUGGACUCACACUAACACAGCAAUGUAUAAGUGGGUAUUUGCAGUACUCAAAUAGAGUGAAGAAACUCCGACUUCCAGGCCCUUUCUGCAAUCAAGAAUGAUACAACUUGCUAGUGAGCUGGGUGUGUCUGGCCCUUGAGAAUCUCUGGAGGUGUCCCUGAAGCACCAGAGUGGACUUUGCCAGUACUUAGGGGUUGGGGAUCACAUGCUCAUGGUCAUCUCUGGUGCCAAUGGAUUACCGGAUUUGGGUUUUGGGGAGCAGUAGUAAUUUUGCAUUUCUUCUUUCUUACGAGUCUCUCAGUGUGAAACGUGCAGCUCAGGCUUCCUUAGUUUCAUCAUUUACACACGUCUGAGGGAAAGCAUUUACAUAUGCAGUUACACUUGACUGAAGUGGGGGGAGGGAAGAGCAAGAUCAAGGCUUUACACUGGAGGGACAAAAACCAUUUUGUAAUUUGAUAUCCAGAUAUCCGUGUUCUUUAAAGGCUCUUGGCUACAGGCUGAGGAUUUGGCCAGGGAUCUCACAUAGGGCCAGGGUCACAUACCAACCAUCUGCUUACUUUUUCUAAUCCCAGCCAAGUUUUUCUCUUUUCUUCCAUUCUGUCUCUUUUUCCCAGUUCUGUUUCUGGAGGAAGCACAGCUUUCAGCUCACCCUUUGCUACUUCGUUUCCUGGGAACUCUUGCCCUCGAGUGGGUCUGCCCUCCCCACUGAUCUCUGUCUACAUAGCAGCACAGAAGUGGGGAUGCACGGGCUCGGGCUCGCACACACGUGUCCGUGCGCACAUGGGCACCCCCACAGGUUGAUCACCUCCUAAGUACUAGAACACCCUUGAAAGUAAAAGUGGCAAUGGUAGUAAUUUUCCUCAGCCAUAAGGCAAAACUCUGAUUGUUCUUUGUAAAGUAGAAAUUUGCCAUUUUUCAAGUGAUUUUGUUAUCCAGACAUAAUUUUCUCCUUCAGAGGAAUUCUGGUGUUAGCUAAUAAAACUUUUUUUUUCCACUCCA